GAGGGUGCAAGCGUUAAUCGGAAUUAUUGGGCGUAAAGGGCUUGUAGGUUGUUCUAUAAGUUAGAUGUGAAAACCCUGGGCUUAACCUGGGACGUGCAUUUAAUACUGUAGGGCUAGAGUAUAGUAGAGGAGUAGGGAAUUCCUGGUGUAGCAGUGAAAUGCGUAGAGAUCAGGAGGAACAUCAGUGGCGAAGGCGCUACUCUGGACUAAUACUGACACUGAGGAGCGAAGGCGUGGGGAGCAAACAGGAUUAGAUACCCUGGUAGUCCACGCGGUAAACGAUGAAUACUAGCCGAUGGGGGGUUAAACCCUUAGUGGCGCAGCUAACGCGAUAAGUAUUCCGCCUGGGAAGUACGGCCGCAAGGUUA
This 368-nucleotide ribosomal RNA is filed under the name uncultured organism. RNAcentral describes it as "bacterial SSU rRNA". It matches the Rfam family "Bacterial small subunit ribosomal RNA", at positions 528 to 896 of the family's 1533-position model. The record is from RNAcentral.